Molecule: ribosomal RNA, 524 nt
Filed under: uncultured fungus
Lineage: Eukaryota; Fungi
Description: eukaryotic LSU rRNA
Rfam family: 5.8S ribosomal RNA (bases 192-345)
Source: RNAcentral
UCCGUAGGUGAACCUGCGGAAGGAUCAUUACCGAGUUCAUGCCCUUACGGGUAGAUCUCCCACCCUUUGUAUACCAUACCUUUGUUGCUUUGGCGGGCCGCCUAGCUACUGGCUUCGGCUGGUAUGUGCCCGCCAGAGGACCCAAAACCCUGAAUUAUUAGUGUCGUCUGAGUAAAAUAUUUAAUAUUUAAAACUUUCAACAACGGAUCUCUUGGCUCUGGCAUCGAUGAAGAACGCAGCGAAAUGCGAUAAGUAAUGUGAAUUGCAGAAUUCAGUGAAUCAUCGAAUCUUUGAACGCACAUUGCGCCCCUUGGUAUUCCGAGGGGCAUGCCUAUUCGAGCGUCAUUAUCACCCCUCAAGCCUAGCUUGGUGUUGAGGCCUGCUGUCAAGGCAGCCUCUAAAAUCAGUGGCAGUGCUGUCAGGCUCUAAGCGUAGUAAAUCUAAUCGCUAUAGACACCUAGUGGCCACUCGCCAGAACCCCCCAUUUUUAAUGAUUGACCUCGGAUUAGGUAGGGACUACCCCG